AGUAAAACAAAGGGGUGCCCUACCUGACGGGCUGAGAUCAUACCCUACGAACCUGAUGCGGUUAGCACCGACGAAGGGAUUGUUGCUUAUCGGCAU
The sequence is a regulatory RNA element, 96 nucleotides long. It matches the Rfam family "TPP riboswitch aptamer (THI element)". From Rfam's summary of the family: Vitamin B(1) in its active form thiamin pyrophosphate (TPP) is an essential coenzyme that is synthesised by coupling of pyrimidine and thiazole moieties in bacteria. The previously detected thiamin-regulatory element, thi box was extended, resulting in a new, highly conserved RNA secondary structure, the THI element, which is widely distributed in eubacteria and also occurs in some archaea. Analysis of operon structures identified a large number of new candidate thiamin-regulated genes, mostly transporters, in various prokaryotic organisms. The record is from Rfam.